AACUGUGCAAUACGCUGUGAUAAACAUAUGCAUGCAGGUGUCUUUUUGAUAUAAAUACUAAACACCUCUAUCAAAGAAGGCCCAAAAUGGCAGGAGAAACAUUUCAUAUAAAACAAUAAUUAUCAGGAUAGUCACUUGUUAUUGAGUACCUAUAUUGCAUCUGAUGUUGUAAAUAUAUUCAAAUAUUUAAUCCCUAAAGCAACCUUUAAAGUUAAGUGUUACCACUCUCAUCUCCAGAUGAGGCAGUGAAGUGUCUGAGGGAUCUAAUAAACUGUUCAAGUUACACACAUGAAAAUUUGAUGUACACUUAUUCUGAUUCCAAAGGCCAGGCUUUUUUAGAUCUUAGCACUGCUCUUAUACAAGCAACAAAUGAAAGAGGUUCAAGGAAAGAGAAAUUUCACCCAAUGUAUUGAGGAAAAGGGUAAAUAUGGAUGCUACUGCAAUAGACUGAAAGGUUAUGUCCUCUCAAAAUUCAUGUGCUGAAAUCUAAUCUCCAAGGUGAUGGUAUUAGAAUGUGGAACAUUUGGGAAGUGAUUAUGUCAUGAGGGUGGGAUGGGAUUAGUGUCCUUAUAAAAGAGGCCCCAGAGAGUUCCAUCAUCCUUUCCAUCAUGUGACAACACAGUGAGAAAAUGGCUGCCUGUGAACCAGGAAGUAGGCCCUCAGCAGACAAGGAAUCUCCUAGCACCUUGAUCUUGGACUUCCCAGCCUCCAGAACUCUGAUGGACUGCUCACAAUUCCCUGAGGCAACGCUAUUAUAUCAAAAAUGAGGUUGUGAGAGCUAACUGAUUCAUUCAAAAUCAAGUUAAAGGCAGAGCUGGAAUUGAAGGAGUUGUUCUUAAGCAUUCUAAACGAAGUGAGAGUAGCUGUCUAUCUCCUGUAGUGCUAUGUAUUUCCAGUCAUCAUCCAGAACAACAAAAACUGUAUCUGGUUUGUAUUAGUUAGGAUUGAAGCUCAGUUGCGGUCACAAAGGGUUCAAACAAUACUGUGGUUCAAAGGAGUUUGUUUCUUACACUACAGUCCAGCAAGAAACAGGCAGGGCACUACAGGUAGGUAACUCUGCUCCAUGAGGGGGUAAGGGAGAAGGGAAAUCUCCUUUGCCCUCUGAAGGUUCACUGAAAAAUCAACUCACAAAAAGGCAGAAUAAUUGGAGAAAAGGCAAACAAAUGUUAUUAACGUGUACACAGGGAGAACCACAGAGUGACUAUCCAUGCCGCCAUCUAUUUCAGAAGCUUAUAUACUGUCCUGGCAAAUCAAGUUAUGGAAGGCAGGAGAAGAGGAAUGAGAUUGAGAAUAUUUCUAGGGAGAAUGAAUGAAUCAGGGAGCAGACAUUGCACAUUAUCUUAUGAAAGGGUCUGUUCAAGCGUGGCUACAUUCUUGGUCUUACAGAGAACAGGGGAGAAAAUUGUUCCUUUUGGUGGGUCUGGAUCUUACUUAGGCAGAUAAAAGAUUUGGGGAGACAAUGGUGGGGGAAGGUCAGAGAGACCUUGAGGCUUCUUCAAUUCAGCAUGUCAAAGCACCAUACUUUGGGGUAUGGUUUCUGACACACAACAAGGUCAUUCAGGGACACAGCUUCCUUCUGAGAACUAAAAAUAAAAUCCUACACCCACCCCCUAACCCCUAACCAACUGAUUGGGCUCACUCUCAGCCAAGGGGACUCCAGAGAAACCUUAAAAACUGAGUUCCUGGCCAUAACUGGACAGGCGGUUGGAUAUGCCUAUUUAUAGCCCCUUCCUUUUGUGGUUUAGACAUACAAGUGAGCAGCAUUAAUGUAAAAAUAGAGAUGAUAAGACAGGCAGAAUGGGCUCUUUCUGACAAAAAGACACCAAGUUAUAAACAAGACCUAAGGCCACUGCAGGCAAAAGUUACAUCAUGCACCCCUACACUUAAAGAAUAAACUAUGUACUCACUGCCACGAGGAUUUUCUUUUUCUCUAGCAGCUAAAUAAGCACUGGCCUUGAGAUAAACAGUAUUGAAACAAUUGCAGCUCAUCCACUUCCAGGCACUGACUCACUGAUUCCCCUGUUCCACAAGCCAGAACUAUAGCUUUGAUUAGACCAGAGACUGAUUUCAGUAACUUUCUCCUGAUAAGAGACCACCCACAUGGACAGGUUCUGGCUUAUUUACCGAGGCUUUGCACUGAAUGCCUUCAUGUCCCCGCUUCACAUUUUGACAUAUAGGGCCUAAUUGUCAUGCAUUUAAAUGUUAAGUCUCUACCCCAAAGUGAAUAUGGGACAAAUGUAACAUAUAUGUUUGUUCAGUUUGCAUGUGUUAAGACCCCCUUCAUGAAUAUUCAGAGCUAUAACCUGUUGGAUAGACUUGAUCAAGGCAUUCUGUAUAAAUUCCUAUUUCAUCCUUCCCUCCCUCCAAGUGCCUGCCAAUGGCCUCUGCCAGGGGCUAUGCUUUCCAGCCUGUCAGAAUGGCCACCUUGCAAGCUGUAACCCUUUAUAAGAAAUAGUCUCCUUUCCAAAUUUAUAGAUAUUGUGAUUUAUAGAUUUUUUUUAGUUCAUGCUUCUAUCCGAUGGCUUCACCAGCCUAUGCAAUUGUAUCCACAUCUAAAAGGACAAAUAUUAUUUACAUCCUUUGAUACAGUUCGGAUACUUGUCCCUGCCCAAAUCUUAUGUUGAAUUGUAAACCCUAAUGCUGGAGAUGGGGCCUAGUGGACGUUGUUUGGAUCAUGAGAGUGGAUCCCUCCAGGCUUGGUGCUGUCUUUGCUGUAGUGAGUGAGUUCUCCAGAGAUCUGGUCAUUGAAAGGUGUGUGGCACCUCCCCCAACCCUACUCUCCCUCUUGGUCCUGCUUUUACCAUGUGAUGUGCCUGCUCCCCCUUCACCUUCCACCAUCAUUGUCAGCUUCCUAAGGCUUCCCUAGAAGUUGUGCAGAUGCCAGCACCAUGCUUCCUGUAAAGCCUGCAGAAUCGUGAGCGA
This 2922-nucleotide long non-coding RNA is filed under the name Homo sapiens (human). Its description in RNAcentral is "HSALNT0315378". Lineage: Eukaryota; Metazoa; Chordata; Mammalia; Primates; Hominidae. The record is from RNAcentral.